UACGAAGGGAGCGAGCGUUGUUCGGAAUCACUGGGCUUAAAGCGUGCGUAGGUGGAUUGGUAAGUCAGGCGUGAAAUCCCAGGGCUUAACCCUGGAACUGCUCUUUAGACUGCCUGUCUGGAAUUCGGAAGAGGUUGGUGGAACUCCCAGUGUAGAGGUGAAAUUCGCAGAUAUUGGGAAGAACACCGGUGGCGAAGGCGACCAACUGGUCCGACAUUGACACUGAGGCACGAAAGCGUGGGUAGCAAACAGG
This 253-nucleotide ribosomal RNA is filed under the name uncultured bacterium. Its description in RNAcentral is "partial 16S ribosomal RNA". It matches the Rfam family "Bacterial small subunit ribosomal RNA", at positions 524 to 776 of the family's 1533-position model. The record is from RNAcentral.